GUUCUUGUUAAGGUUGAUUUUUGUAAAUAUAAUAUGUUGGAUUAAUAUUAUGAGUGAGGAUUAAGGAGUUUUUAUAGGUUAAUAGUACUGUUGAGGAAAUAUGUUGGUUUAUUAAAAAUAUUAGGUUGUUUAGUACCUUUUGUAUUAGGGUUUUUCAAUGUAUAAAAAUAUUUAUUUGUUCUCGAUGAAUAUCGGGCUAUUUUUUUGGAAUUAUUUCUGUUGAAUAAGAUUAAUUAUGGAUUAAUAGUUAUGAAAUAUUAUUCAAGUUAUUUUUUAUCUAGUUUUCUGAGAAAUAUAAUUUAAGAUAUAAAUAUUAUUAAGGUAUGUUGGGAUUAGCUAGCUUAUUUUUUAUAUGAGGAUAUGUUUUGUUUUAUUAGUGAAGUUAAAAGUUCUUAGUUAUAUUAUGUUAUUAUAAAUUAGGUUUAAUUUUUAUUAUUUUUUGGUGUUAUGUGAAGAUUGGAAAGGUUAAUAAAAUUUGAAUUUAAUGUUAUAAUGAUAAAAUUAGUAAUAUUUGAUUUUAUGAAUUAGGUUAAUGAAGUUUUUUGUUAAUAAAAAUUGAAAGAUUAAUAUUGAAGAAUUCGGCAAUAUGAGCUUUUGACUGUUUAGCAAAAACAUUGUUUUUUGUUAAGGUAAGAAAUAAGGUCUGUCCACUGCUUUAUAGUGAAGGGCUGCAGUAUUUUGACUGUAUGAAGGUAGCAUAAUCAUUAGUUUUUUAAUUGGAAGCUGGUAUGAAGGUGAAACAGAGGCUUGCUAUUUUGGUAUUAAUUAAUGAAUUUUAUUUUUGUGUGAAAAAUCAUAAGUGGGUAAAAGGGACAAGAAGACCCUAGUAAGUUUUAUUUUUAAUUAUGAGGGGUAUGUAGUUUAUUAAAUUAAUAUUAUUUAUAGUUUAGGAGUUUGACUGGGGCGGUAUAUAAUUAAACAUUAUAUAAUUUUUAAUUUUUGGGAGCGGAGCUUAGACCUAAGGUGGUUAGCUUAAGGUUAAAUUACUGUAGGGAUAACAGCGUGAUUUUUUUUAAGAGUUCUUAUUGACGGAAAA
RNAcentral lists this ribosomal RNA (1036 nucleotides) under Riukiaria chelifera. Its description in RNAcentral is "partial large subunit ribosomal RNA". The record is from RNAcentral. Lineage: Eukaryota; Metazoa; Arthropoda; Diplopoda; Polydesmida; Xystodesmidae.